This 443-nucleotide ribosomal RNA is filed under the name uncultured bacterium. Its description in RNAcentral is "partial 16S ribosomal RNA". It matches the Rfam family "Bacterial small subunit ribosomal RNA", at positions 338 to 795 of the family's 1533-position model. The record is from RNAcentral.
CCUACGGGAGACAGCAGUGGGGAAUAUUGGGCAAUGGGCGCAAGCCUGACCCAGCAACGCCGCGUGAAGGAAGAAGGCUUUCGGGUUGUAAACCUCUUUUGUCAGGGACGAAGCAAGUGACGGUACCUGACGAAUAAGCCACCGCUAACUACGUGCCAGCAGCCGCGGUAAUACGUAGGUGGCAAGCGUUAUCCGGAUUUACUGGGUGUAAAGGGAGAGUAGGCGGAGAGGUAAGUCAGAUGUGAAAGCCACGGGCUCAACCGGUGAACUGCAUUUGAAACUGUUUUUCUUGAGUGCAGGAGAGGAGAGCGGAAUUCCGAGUGUAGCGGUGAAAUGCGUAGAUAUACGGAAGAACACCAGUGGCGAAGGCGGAUUGCUGGACAGUAACUGACGCUGAGGCGCGAAAGCGUGGGGAGCAAACAGGAUUAGAUACCCGAGUAGUC